This is a long non-coding RNA of Quercus robur (English oak), 801 nucleotides long. RefSeq lists it as uncharacterized. The record is from RefSeq and is a predicted model, not a curated record. Lineage: Eukaryota; Viridiplantae; Streptophyta; Magnoliopsida; Fagales; Fagaceae. The transcript has 2 exons.
AAAAAAAAAAAAAAACAAUUACCAAAUAAUAAAACAAAAAAACAAUCACCAAUUACACGAAUAGCUUUCCCGAUAGUGGACCUUCACACACGAAUAGCUUUCCCUUUCACCUGACCGGACCUGGCUUCUCCGAUCCUCUGCCCCUCCACACAUGAAUAGCUUUCCCUUUCACCUGACCGGACCUGGCUUCUCCGAUCACGAAUACCUUUCCCUUUCACCUGACCGAACCUGGCUUCUCCGAUUCUCUGCCCCUCCACACACGAAUAGCUUUCCCUUUCACCAUACCGGACCCUGGCUUCUCCGAUUCUCUGCCCCUCCACACACGAAUAGCUUUCCCUUUCACCUGACCGGACCUGGGUUCUCUGAUUCUCUGCCCCUCCACACACGAAUAGCUUUCCCUUUCACCAUACCGGACCCUGGCUUCUCCGAUUCUCUGCCAUUUCUUUUCCACGGCAAGACCCACGGCAAGACCUAACGAUCCUUUCACGAUACCGGACAUGCCUUCUCCGAUUAUCUGUCAUUUUUUUUCCACGGCAAGACCCACCGAUCCGACCCAACAGACCGAUCCUCUGCCUCUCCCUUUCCACGGCAACACCCAACAGCCCGAUACCGAUCCGACCCAACAGACCCAAAUCCAAUUCGCUCAAUUUCCACUCUUCCCCAGCCCAUCGCUCAAUGCAACCGACCCAGCCCGUCGAGACCGGCCCAAAGGUUUUUUUAUCAGAACCACAUGCACACAGAGAUAUAGUUUGGAAGGCACAAAGAGAGAGGCCGCAUACCCAUUACCCCAUAAUCGGUAAA